This 501-nucleotide ribosomal RNA is filed under the name uncultured bacterium. RNAcentral describes it as "partial 16S ribosomal RNA". It matches the Rfam family "Bacterial small subunit ribosomal RNA", at positions 29 to 523 of the family's 1533-position model. The record is from RNAcentral.
AUUGAACGCUGGCGGCAUGCCUUACACAUGCAAGUCGAACGGCAGCACGGGUGCUUGCACCUGGUGACGAGUGGCGAACGGGUGAGUAAUACAUCGGAACGUACCUUAUCGUGGGGGAUAACGCAGCGAAAGCUGUGCUAAUACCGCAUACGCCCUGAGGGGGAAAGCGGGGGAUCGCAAGACCUCGCGCGAUUAGAGCGGCCGAUGCCUGAUUAGCUUGUUGGUGGGGUAAAAGCCCACCAAGGCGACGAUCAGUAGCUGGCCUGAGAGGACGAUCAGCCACACUGGGACUGAGACACGGCCCAGACUCCUACGGGAGGCAGCAGUGGGGAAUUUUGGACAAUGGGGGCAACCCUGAUCCAGCAAUGCCGCGUGAGUGAAGAAGGCCUUCGGGUUGUAAAGCUCUUUUGUCAGGGAAGAAACACCGGCUCUAACACAGUCCGGGAAUGACGGUACCUGAAGAAUAAGCACCGGCUAACUACGUGCCAGCAGCCGCCGUAA